CCUACGGGAGGCAGCAGUGAGGAAUAUUGGUCAAUGGGCGCGAGCCUGAACCAGCCACGUCGCGUGAAGGAUGACUGACCUACGUGUUGUAAACUUCUUUUAUAAAGGAAUAAAGUGAGGCACGAGUGCCUUUUUGUAUGUACUUUAUGAAUAAGGAUAGGCUAACUACGUGCCAGCAGCAGCGGUAAUACGGAGGAUCCGAGCGUUAUACGGAUUUAUUGGGUUUAAAGGGAGCGUAGAUGGGUUGUUAAGUCAGUUGUGCAAGUUUGCGGUCCAACCGUAAGAUUGCAAUUGAUACUGGCAGCCUUGAGUACAGGUGAGGUAGGCGGAAUUCGUGGUGUAGCGAUGAAAUGCUUAGAUAUCACGAAGAACUCCGAUUGCGAAGGCAGCUUACUAAACUGCCACUGACAUUGAUGCUCGAAAGUGUGGGUAUCAAACAGGAUUAGAUACCCCUGUAGUC
Molecule: ribosomal RNA, 460 nt
Filed under: uncultured bacterium
Lineage: Bacteria
Description: partial 16S ribosomal RNA
Rfam family: Bacterial small subunit ribosomal RNA
Source: RNAcentral